Molecule: ribosomal RNA, 253 nt
Filed under: uncultured bacterium
Lineage: Bacteria
Description: partial 16S ribosomal RNA
Rfam family: Bacterial small subunit ribosomal RNA
Source: RNAcentral
UACGUAGGGGGCUAGCGUUGUCCGGAUUUAUUGGGCGUAAAGAGCGCGCAGGCGGUCGUUCAAGUCGAGUGUGAAAGCCCCCGGCUCAACUGGGGAGGGUCACUCGAUACUGAUCGACUUGAAGGCAGGAGAGGGAAGCGGAAUUCCCGGUGUAGUGGUGAAAUGCGUAGAUAUCGGGAGGAACACCAGUGGCGAAGGCGGCUUCCUGGCCUGUUCUUGACGCUGAGGCGCGAAAGCUAGGGGAGCAAACGGG